CCAUCAGCGCCCGGGUACUACGAGCCUAAGCUUAAAACCCAAAGGACUUGACGGUGUCCCAUCCAUCUAGAGGAGCCUGUUCUAUAAUCGAUACCCCCCGCUUCACCUCACCAUUUUUAGCCUAUCAGCCUGUAUACCUCCGUCGCAAGCUUACCAUGUGAACGCCCCCAGUAAGCCUAAUGGUCCCUCACCAACACGUCAGGUCAAGGUGCAGCUCAUAAAAUGGGAAGCAAUGGGCUACAGUUUCUAAUGUAGAACAAACGGAAAAACUACAUGAAACAUAGUCAUGAAGGCGGAUUUAGUAGUAAAAAGAAAAUAGCGUGUUCUUUUUAACUAGGCACUGGGACGCGUACACACCGCCCGUCACCCUC
RNAcentral lists this ribosomal RNA (371 nucleotides) under Tomopterna sp. C Shankara. Its description in RNAcentral is "partial 12S ribosomal RNA". It matches the Rfam family "Bacterial small subunit ribosomal RNA", at positions 858 to 1404 of the family's 1533-position model. Lineage: Eukaryota; Metazoa; Chordata; Amphibia; Anura; Pyxicephalidae. The record is from RNAcentral.